GCCAGGUGCGGUGGUGCAUACCUGUAAUCCCAGCAGCUCAGGGAGGCUGAGACAGGAGGAUCACAAGUUCAAAGCCAGCCUCAGUAAAACCGAGGUGCUAAGAAAGUCAGUGAGACCCUGCCUCUA
RNAcentral lists this small RNA (126 nucleotides) under Marmota monax (woodchuck). The record is from RNAcentral. Lineage: Eukaryota; Metazoa; Chordata; Mammalia; Rodentia; Sciuridae.